This 412-nucleotide long non-coding RNA is filed under the name Cyanistes caeruleus (blue tit). RNAcentral's name for it is "lncRNA (ENSCCEG00000012709.1)". Lineage: Eukaryota; Metazoa; Chordata; Aves; Passeriformes; Paridae. The record is from RNAcentral.
GCACAGCAUAUUUUGGACAAGGAAAAUAGGGAACUUGUGUUAAUAACCACCACUUCUUCAAGGGUCAGGAAGUGAAGUUUUGAGGCUGACAUCAACAUCCACUGCACAUUCAGUGUGCCUGGAAUUCCUGAAGUUUCCAUCCAGUUUUUAAUUCUUUUUUUUUCCAGAACGUUGAGUGCAGAAAAUACUUGCCAAAAACCCCCUGGAUAUAUAUUUGCCUCUCAUAAAAUGAGGCAUGGUUGGAUAUAAGUUCAAGGAGAAUUUCAAAUGUACUAUGUAGAAAUGGAGAAUCCUGUAACAGAAAACAGUUUUCAAAGUGCUGAUGCAAAUAAGAAACCAGGAAUAUGUUUUCUGUAAAAAUGUUGGACAGGAAGCGAAAAGCUGAAGAACCUCCUACCUGCUGGAGACCUUC